RNAcentral lists this ribosomal RNA (1194 nucleotides) under Gymnachirus melas (North American naked sole). RNAcentral describes it as "partial 16S ribosomal RNA". It matches the Rfam family "Bacterial large subunit ribosomal RNA", at positions 589 to 2558 of the family's 2925-position model. Lineage: Eukaryota; Metazoa; Chordata; Actinopteri; Pleuronectiformes; Achiridae. The record is from RNAcentral.
AGAUUAACUCUUGUACCUUUUGCAUCAUGAAUUAGCCAGCACCCUCAAGCAAAAAGAAUUUAAGUUUGACACCCCGAAACCGAGCGAGCUACUCCAGGACAGCCUAUGAAUAGGGCGAACCCAUCUCUGUGGCAAAAGAGUGGGAAGAGCCUCGAGUAGAGGUGACAGACCUACCGAGCUCGGCCAUAGCUGGUUGUCUGGGAACUGAAUAGAAGUUCAGCCUCCCGGCUUCUUCCCAGACCGAGAGAGUUAGUCAAAAGGGGUACAGCCCUUUUGACACAAGAUACAACUUCUCCAGGAGGGUACCGAUCAUAACUAAUCAAGGGAAAAUAACCCAAGUGGGCCUAAAAGCAGCCACCUUAAUAGAAAGCGUCCAAGCUCAAGCACCUAAUUCCGAAAACCAACUCAAAACCCCCUAAAAAUACCAGACCCCUUCGUGCCCGCACGAAGAAGACUAUGCUACUACGAGUAAUAAGAGAACCCUCUCUCCUGACACAUGUGUAAAUCGGAUUGGACCCCCCACCGAAACUUAACGGCCCCAAACGAAGAGGGGAAAAAGAAAAAACUAGAAAACCACUUACCGUUAACCCUACACUGGUGUGUUCUCAAGGAAAGACUAAAAGAAAGAGAAGGAACUCGGCAAACAAGCCUCGCCUGUUUACCAAAAACAUCGCCUCUUGCAAGAAUAAGAGGUCCCGCCUGCCCACUGAUAUUAAUUCAACGGCCGCGGUAUUUUGACCGUGCUAAGGUAGCGUAAUCACUUGUCUUUUAAAUGAAGACCCGUAUGAAAGGCAUAACGAGGGCUUAACUGUCUCCUCUUUCCAGUCAAUGAAACUGAUCUCCCCGUGCAGACGCGGGGAUAAUACCAUAAGACGAGAAGACCCUAUGGAGCUUCAGACAUAAGGUAGACUAUUUCAAACACCCCUCGACAAGGAUUGAAUCUAAUAGAAACCUACCCCUGUCUUAGGUUGGGGCGACCCUGGGGAAACACAAAACCCCCAUGUGGAUAGGGAGAACCCCUAAAAACCCGAGAUACAACUCUAAUUAACAGAAUCUCUGACCAAAAUUGAUCCGGACGAACCCGAUUAACGGAACAAGUUACCCUAGGGAUAACAGCGCUAUCCCCUUUUAAAGUCCAUAUAGACAAGGGGGUUUACGACCUCGAUGUUGGAUCAGGACAUCCUAAUGGUGCAG